RNAcentral lists this ribosomal RNA (94 nucleotides) under Paenarthrobacter nicotinovorans. RNAcentral also lists the same sequence under 27 other names. The record is from RNAcentral. Lineage: Bacteria; Bacillati; Actinomycetota; Actinomycetes; Micrococcales; Micrococcaceae.
AACGCCCGGUCCCAUUCCGAACCCGGAAGCUAAGACCCACAGCGCCGAUGGUACUGCACCCGGGAGGGUGUGGGAGAGUAGGACACCGCCGGAC